CGCUCUUUGUGUAGUAAUUUAAGAUAAGGAGUCGGACCUGCCCAGUGACGUAAUGUUAAACGGCCGCGGUACUCUGACCGUGCAAAGGUAGCAUAAUCACUUGCCUUUUAAUUGGAGGCUUGUAUGAAUGGUUUGACGAGAGCUAAGCUGUCUCCUUUUAAAUAUUUAGAAAUUAAUUUAUAGGUGAAGAGGCCUAUAUAUAUUUGAGGGACAAGAAGACCCUAUUGAGUUUGAGUGUAAUUUGAAAUAAGUUGUUGUUUGUAGCUGUAUGUUACAGAUGGUAAGGUUGUAUGUGUAUAUAAAUUGAGUUUUUCUGAAAUCUUUGGUUGGGGCGACUGAGGAGUAUAAAAAGCUUCCUUUAAUAGAUUAUGGCUGGCGAGUUAGGUUGAUCCAAUUUUAUUGAUCAAAGGAAAAAAUUACCAUAGGGAUAACAGCGUAAUCUUUUUGGAGAGUUCUUAUCGAAAAAAGGGUUUGCGACCUCGAUGUUGGACUAAGAUAUCCUGGGGGUGUAGAAGUUCCCGAAGGUUGGUCUGUUCGACCAUUAAAAUCUU
This 551-nucleotide unclassified non-coding RNA is filed under the name Bathymophila sp. 18 LS-2016. RNAcentral describes it as "contains 16S-23S intergenic spacer region". It matches the Rfam family "Bacterial large subunit ribosomal RNA", at positions 1816 to 2597 of the family's 2925-position model. Lineage: Eukaryota; Metazoa; Mollusca; Gastropoda; Trochida; Solariellidae. The record is from RNAcentral.